ACAAACGCUGGCGGGGUGCAUGAGACAUGCAAGUCGAACGGGGUUGAGCGGGCUUGCUCGAUCAACCUAGUGGCGGACGGCUGAGUAACGCGUAGGUGACCUACCCGGAAGUGGGGAAUAACUGCCCGAAAGGGUGGCUAAUACCGCAUGUGGUCGGCGAUUCAGUUCGCCGCCCAAAGCCGCAAGGCGCUUCCGGCGGGGCCUGCGUCCGAUUAGCUAGUUGGUGGGGUAAUGGCUCACCAAGGCGACGAUCGGUAGCUGGUCUGAGAGGAUGAUCAGCCAGACUGGGACUGAGAACGGCCCAGACUCCUACGGGAGGCAGCAGUCGGGAAUUUUGCCCAAUGGACGAAAGUCUGAGGCAGCAACUCCGCGUGAGGGACGAAGGCC
RNAcentral lists this ribosomal RNA (387 nucleotides) under uncultured bacterium. Its description in RNAcentral is "bacterial SSU rRNA". It matches the Rfam family "Bacterial small subunit ribosomal RNA", at positions 29 to 416 of the family's 1533-position model. The record is from RNAcentral.